Molecule: ribosomal RNA, 298 nt
Filed under: uncultured bacterium
Lineage: Bacteria
Description: partial 16S ribosomal RNA
Rfam family: Bacterial small subunit ribosomal RNA
Source: RNAcentral
AAUGAACGCUGGCGGCGUGCUUAACACAUGCAAGUCGUGCGCGAAAGUGGCCUCGGCUGCGAGUAGAGCGGCGAACGGGUGAGUAACACGUGGGUAAUCUGUCCUCGAGUGGGGGAUAACUCGGUGAAAACUGAGCUAAUACCGCAUUCGGUCACGGGGUAUCGGCUCCGUGAAGAAAGCUGGCCUCUGCUUGCAAGCUAGCGCUCGAGGAGGAGCCCGCGGCCGAUUAGCUAGUUGGCGGGGUAAUGGCCCACCAAGGCGACGAUCGGUAGCCGGCCUGAGAGGGUGAUCGGCCACA